AUGCUUCCAUCCUGAUAGAAGAUAAUAGUGACAAGUUUUGGAUCCGUUUUUCAAAAAAUAUUGUAAGAACUAACUGCAUAAACAUAUGAAAUUAUAAGGCACUAUUUGUAGAUUCCUUAUACAAUAACAUCAUCUCAUAUUUUUGUAAAUGAAUCCCUAAGUUUGAAAGGCAGAUGCAUUUCAAACUUGAGUCCUUAAGUUUGAAAGGCAGACCUUCAGCAAUGAAGGGAUCCAACCUUAAGUC
Molecule: long non-coding RNA, 244 nt
Filed under: Elaeis guineensis (African oil palm)
Lineage: Eukaryota; Viridiplantae; Streptophyta; Magnoliopsida; Arecales; Arecaceae
Description: long non-coding RNA (EGUI_LNC004642)
Source: RNAcentral